UGGGGAAUAUUGCACAAUGGGCGCAAGCCUGAUGCAGCCAUGCCGCGUGUGUGAAGAAGGCCUUCGGGUUGUAAAGCACUUUCAGCGAGGAGGAAGGGUAGUGUGUUAAUAGCACAUUGCAUUGACGUUACUCGCAGAAGAAGCACCGGCUAACUCCGUGCCAGCAGCCGCGGUAAUACGGAGGGUGCAAGCGUUAAUCGGAAUUACUGGGCGUAAAGCGCACGCAGGCGGUUUGUUAAGUCAGAUGUGAAAUCCCCGCGCUUAACGUGGGAACUGCAUUUGAAACUGGCAAGCUAGAGUCUUGUAGAGGGGGGUAGAAUUCCAGGUGUAGCGGUGAAAUGCGUAGAGAUCUGGAGGAAUACCGGUGGCGAAGGCGGCCCCCUGGACAAAGACUGACGCUCAGGUGCGAAAGCG
This 414-nucleotide ribosomal RNA is filed under the name uncultured bacterium. RNAcentral describes it as "partial 16S ribosomal RNA". It matches the Rfam family "Bacterial small subunit ribosomal RNA", at positions 355 to 761 of the family's 1533-position model. The record is from RNAcentral.